RNAcentral lists this ribosomal RNA (467 nucleotides) under uncultured bacterium. RNAcentral's name for it is "partial 16S ribosomal RNA". It matches the Rfam family "Bacterial small subunit ribosomal RNA", at positions 29 to 507 of the family's 1533-position model. The record is from RNAcentral.
ACGCACGCUGGCGGCGUGCUUCACACAUGCCAGUCGCACGGAAAGGCCCUGCUUUUGUGGGGUGCUCGAGUGGCGAACGGGUGAGUAACACGUGAGUAACCUGCCCUUGACUUUGGGAUAACUUCAGGAAACUGGGGCUAAUACCGGAUAGGAGCUCCUGCUGCAUGGUGGGGGUUGGAAAGUUUCGGCGGUUGGGGAUGGACUCGCGGCUUAUCAGCUUGUUGGUGGGGUAGUGGCUUACCAAGGCUUUGACGGGUAGCCGGCCUGAGAGGGUGACCGGCCACAUUGGGACUGAGAUACGGCCCAGACUCCUACGGGAGGCAGCAGUGGGGAAUAUUGCACAAUGGGCGGAAGCCUGAUGCAGCAACGCCGCGUGCGGGAUGACGGCCUUCGGGUUGUAAACCGCUUUCGCCUGUGACGAAGCGUGAGAGACGGUAAUGGGUAAAGAAGCACCGGCUAACUACGUG